This 497-nucleotide ribosomal RNA is filed under the name uncultured bacterium. Its description in RNAcentral is "partial 16S ribosomal RNA". It matches the Rfam family "Bacterial small subunit ribosomal RNA", at positions 28 to 507 of the family's 1533-position model. The record is from RNAcentral.
GAUGAACGCUGGCGGCGUGCCUAAUACAUGCAAGUCGAGCGAACAGACGAGGAGCUUGCUCCUCUGACGUUAGCGGCGGACGGGUGAGUAACACGUGGAUAACCUACCUAUAAGACUGGGAUAACUUCGGGAAACCGGAGCUAAUACCGGAUAAUAUAUUGAACCGCAUGGUUCAAUAGUGAAAGACGGUUUUGCUGUCACUUAUAGAUGGAUCCGCGCCGCAUUAGCUAGUUGGUAAGGUAACGGCUUACCAAGGCAACGAUGCGUAGCCGACCUGAGAGGGUGAUCGGCCACACUGGAACUGAGACACGGUCCAGACUCCUACGGGAAGCAGCAGUAGGGAAUCUUCCGCAAUGGGCGAAAGCCUGACGGAGCAACGCCGCGUGAGUGAUGAAGGUCUUCGGAUCGUAAAACUCUGUUAUUAGGGAAGAACAAAUGUGUAAUUAACUAUGCACGUCUUGACGGUACCUAAUCAGAAAGCCACGGCUAACUACGUG